Molecule: ribosomal RNA, 253 nt
Filed under: uncultured bacterium
Lineage: Bacteria
Description: partial 16S ribosomal RNA
Rfam family: Bacterial small subunit ribosomal RNA
Source: RNAcentral
UACGUAGGGACCGAGCGUUGUCCGGAAUCAUUGGGCGUAAAGAGCGUGUAGGCGGCCUUUUAAGUCCUGCGUGAAAUCCUGCGGCUCAACCGCAGACGGUCGUGGGAAACUGGAAGGCUAGAGUGCGGGAGAGGAGAGUGGAAUUCCCGGUGUAGCGGUGAAAUGCGUAGAUAUCUGCAGGAACACCCGUGGCGAAAGCGGCGCGCUGGACCACUACUGACGCUGAGGAACGAAAGCUAGGGGAGCAAACAGG